RNAcentral lists this ribosomal RNA (253 nucleotides) under uncultured bacterium. RNAcentral describes it as "partial 16S ribosomal RNA". It matches the Rfam family "Bacterial small subunit ribosomal RNA", at positions 524 to 776 of the family's 1533-position model. The record is from RNAcentral.
UACGUAGGGUGCAAGCGUUGUCCGGAAUUAUUGGGCGUAAAGAGUUCGUAGGCGGUUACUUAAGUCUGGUGUUAAAGCCCGAUGCUCAACGUCGGCAUGGCAUUGGAAACUGGGUAGCUAGAGUGUGUCAGAGGUUACGGGAAUUCCUGGUGUAGCGGUGAAAUGCGUAGAUAUCAGGAGGAACACCUGUGGCGAAAGCGCGUAACUGGGGCAUAACUGACGCUGAGGAACGAAAGCGUGGGGAGCAAACAGG